GACGGGCCUCCCUGCAUGGAGGCGCGGCCAACCGGGUCAGAUCGGGAACGAAGCAGCCCCAACCGUUAGCCGCCAGUGCCAGGGUCAAGGCUCGUCACC
Molecule: non-coding RNA, 99 nt
Organism: Burkholderiales bacterium
Lineage: Bacteria; Pseudomonadati; Pseudomonadota; Betaproteobacteria; Burkholderiales
Source: Rfam